This 45-nucleotide non-coding RNA is filed under the name Schistosoma mansoni. The record is from RNAcentral. Lineage: Eukaryota; Metazoa; Platyhelminthes; Trematoda; Strigeidida; Schistosomatidae.
AUUCAUCUGAAGAGUCCCAGAAAAGACGAAACGCGUGUCCCGGAU